Long non-coding RNA from Felis catus (domestic cat), 681 nucleotides. RefSeq lists it as uncharacterized. The transcript has 4 exons. Lineage: Eukaryota; Metazoa; Chordata; Mammalia; Carnivora; Felidae. The record is from RefSeq and is a predicted model, not a curated record.
CCUGAGCUGAAGUCGGAGGCUUAACCGACUGAGCCACCCAGGCAUUGGUUCAUUUACCUGGGUUGUUGAAUUUCUGUGUGUAGAGUUAUCAGGACAUUCCCUCCUCCUGCUGGUACCUCAUGGAGGGAAGAUCACACAAUAUUUAUGGUCUUCUUGGUUUGGGGCUGCCUUGAGCCUAGGCCCGAACACAGCCGAGGAAAAAUGGGAAACUCAUCACUCGUUUGGAGUCGAAGAGUCAGGAUGGAUGUGCUCAUUCUGUCUUGCCUGGAACUAAACCUCUUCCCUUCGACAUGAUUGUUUUAUCACAGCUUGUUGAGAAAACUGCAGGAUGGAAAAUGUUUGCCAGAAAACACGUUAUGGGGCCACCUGGGUGGCUCCAUCGGUGGAGACACGAACUCUGGAUUUUGGCUCAGAUCCCGGCUGUGGCUCCUCCAUUGGACUCAGGAAAGUCUCAAGUUCCAAACCUUUGGUGUUCAAGAACCUCAUGGUCCAACACGGCUCACCUCACCAGAAUCCUCUCUUGCUACCUCCCCCCUUCCCAGACUUCUGCCUUGCCAGAGGAUAUACAAUCCAGAGUGCCUAUGAAUUCUCUGGAAUGCUUAUUUAAAAUACAAAGUCCUAGGCUCCAGAUUCUGAGGUAGUAGAUAAGCCUCAGGGCUCUGGAAGCUGCAUUGCAACAAG